GGAACGGAACCUGCGGAAGGAUCAUUA
This 27-nucleotide ribosomal RNA is filed under the name Phaeophyscia primaria. RNAcentral's name for it is "partial 18S ribosomal RNA". Lineage: Eukaryota; Fungi; Ascomycota; Lecanoromycetes; Caliciales; Physciaceae. The record is from RNAcentral.